RNAcentral lists this ribosomal RNA (230 nucleotides) under uncultured soil bacterium. RNAcentral describes it as "partial 16S ribosomal RNA". It matches the Rfam family "Bacterial small subunit ribosomal RNA", at positions 282 to 518 of the family's 1533-position model. The record is from RNAcentral.
AUUCGCCCGCUGCGCGCGGCGGGCGGGGCGGGGGCACGGGGGGCCUACGGGAGGCAGCAGUCGAGAAUUUUUCUCAAUGGGGGCAACCCUGAAGGAGCGACGCCGCGUGGAGGAUGAAGGCUUUCGGGUUGUAAACUCCUGUCAUUUGAGAACAAUGGCUACGCGUUAACUGCGCGGAGCUUGAUAGUAUCAGAAGAGGAAGGGACGGCUAACUCUGUGCCAGCAGCCGC